Molecule: ribosomal RNA, 465 nt
Filed under: uncultured bacterium
Lineage: Bacteria
Description: partial 16S ribosomal RNA
Rfam family: Bacterial small subunit ribosomal RNA
Source: RNAcentral
CCUACGGGAGGCAGCAGUGGGGAAUAUUGCGCAAUGGGCGAAAGCCUGACGCAGCGACGCCGCGUGAGGGAUGAAGGUCUUCGGAUCGUAAACCUCUGUCAGCAGGGAAGAACGGUCACUGUGCUAAUCAGCAGUGAAUUGACGGUACCUGCAAAGGAAGCACCGGCUAACUCCGUGCCAGCAGCCGCGGUAAUACGGAGGGUGCGAGCGUUAAUCGGAAUUACUGGGCGUAAAGCGCUCGUAGGCGGUAUGUCAAGUCAAGGGUGAAAUCCCCGCGCUCAACGGGGGAACUGCCUUUGAAACUGGCGAACUGGAGUGGGUGAGAGGAUAGUGGAAUUCCAGGUGUAGGGGUGAAAGCCGUAGAUAUCUGGAGGAACAUCAGUGGCGAAGGCGACUAUCUGGCACAUAACUGACGCUGAGGAGCGAAAGCGUGGGUAGCAAACAGGAUUAGAUACCCGGGUAGUC